GGGAGAUGAAAAUCUCCAACGAUUAUAUCC
RNAcentral lists this unclassified non-coding RNA (30 nucleotides) under synthetic construct. Its description in RNAcentral is "RNA (30-mer) from synthetic construct (PDB 7XD8, chain K)". The record is from RNAcentral.